CCUACGGGUGGCUGCAGUGAGGAAUAUUGGUCAAUGGGCGCGAGUCUGAACCAGCCAAGUAGCGUGAAGGAUGACUGCCCUACGGGUUGUAAACUUCUUUUAUAUAGGAAUAAAGUGAGGUACGCGUGCCCUCUUGUAUGUACUUUAUGAAUAAGGAUCGGCUAACUCCGUGCCAGCAGCCGCGGUAAUACGGAGGAUCCGAGCGUUAUCCGGAUUUAUUGGGUUUAAAGGGUGCGGAGGUGGGUUGUUAAGUCAGGUGGUAAAGGCCGGGGCUCAACCGCAGACUGGCCGUUGAACCUGGCAGUCUCGAGUAGAGGAGAGGUGGGCGGAAUGCGCGGUGUAGCGGUGAAAUGCUUAGAUAUCGCGCAGAACUCCGAUUGCGAAGGCAGCUUGCCGG
RNAcentral lists this ribosomal RNA (397 nucleotides) under uncultured bacterium. Its description in RNAcentral is "partial 16S ribosomal RNA". It matches the Rfam family "Bacterial small subunit ribosomal RNA", at positions 338 to 732 of the family's 1533-position model. The record is from RNAcentral.